Molecule: ribosomal RNA, 496 nt
Filed under: uncultured bacterium
Lineage: Bacteria
Description: partial 16S ribosomal RNA
Rfam family: Bacterial small subunit ribosomal RNA
Source: RNAcentral
GAUGAACGCUGGCGGCGUGCCUAAUACAUGCAAGUCGAGCGCUGAAGGUUGGUACUUGUACCAACUGGAUGAGCAGCGGACGGGUGAGUAACGCGUGGGGAAUCUGCCUUUGAGCAGGGGACAACAUCUGGAAACGAAUGCUAAUACCGCAUAAUAACUUUAAACACAAGUUUCAAGUUUGAAAGAUGCAAUUGCUGCACUCAAAGAUGAUCCCCCGUUUUAUUAGCUAGUUGGGGAGGUAAAGGCCCACCAAGGGGAUGAUACAUAGCCGACCGGAGAGGUUGAUGGCCACAUCGGGAACGGAACCACGGCCCAGAUCCCUCCGGAGGGAACAGGAGGGGAACUUCGGCAAAUGAGCGAAAGCUGGACGAGGAAAGGCCGGGUGGGGGAGGAGGGUCUCGGAUUGUAAAAAUCCUUUUGUAGGGAAGAACGUUGGUGAGAGUUGAAAGCUCACCUAGUGACGGUAACUACACAGAAAGCGACGGCUAACUACGUG